CACCUCCUCACCAUUUGAGCAAUGGGGGGACGCAGGAGGAUAGGGUAAGCGCGGUAUUGGAUAUCCGCGUCCAAGCAGUUAGGCUGGGAAAUAGGCAAAUCCGUUUCCCGUGAAGGCUGAGCUGUGAUGGCGAGCGAAUUAUAGUAGCGAAGUUCCUGAUUCCACACUGCCAAGAAAAGCCUCUAGCGAGGUGAGAGGUGCCCGUACCGCAAACCGACACAGGUAGGCGAGGAGAGAAUCCUAAGGUGAUCGAGAGAACUCUCGUUAAGGAACUCGGCAAAAUGACCCCG
This 290-nucleotide ribosomal RNA is filed under the name Escherichia coli. RNAcentral describes it as "partial 23S ribosomal RNA". It matches the Rfam family "Bacterial large subunit ribosomal RNA", at positions 1443 to 1730 of the family's 2925-position model. The record is from RNAcentral. Lineage: Bacteria; Pseudomonadati; Pseudomonadota; Gammaproteobacteria; Enterobacterales; Enterobacteriaceae.